UACGAAGGGGGCUAGCGUUGUUCGGAAUCACUGGGCGUAAAGCGCACGUAGGCGGCGCGUUAAGUCAGGGGUGAAAUCCUGGAGCUCAACUCCAGAACUGCCUUUGAUACUGGCGUGCUUGAGUGUGGGAGAGGUUGGUGGAACUCCGAGUGUAGAGGUGAAAUUCGUAGAUAUUCGGAAGAACACCAGUGGCGAAGGAGGCCAACUGGCCCAUUACUGACGAUGAGGUGCGAAAGCGUGGGGAGCAAACAGG
Molecule: ribosomal RNA, 253 nt
Filed under: uncultured bacterium
Lineage: Bacteria
Description: partial 16S ribosomal RNA
Rfam family: Bacterial small subunit ribosomal RNA
Source: RNAcentral